CCAGGGGGUAGCGACUGUUUACCAAAAACACAGGUGCAUGCGAAGGCGAAAGCCGCUGUAUAUGCACUGACGCCUGCCCGGUGCCGGAAGGUUAAGAGGAUCCGUCAAUCCCUUCGGGGACGAAGCGGUGAAUUCAAGCCCCGGUAAACGGCGGUGGUAACUAUAACCAUCCUAAGGUAGCGAAAUUCCUUGUCGGGUAAGUUCCGACCUGCACGAAUGGCGUAACGACUUCCCCACUGUCUCGACCAGGAGCUCGGCGAAAUUGCAGUACGAGUAAAGAUGCUCGUUAAGCGCAGAAGGACGAAAAGACCCCGGGACCUUUACUAUACCUUGGUAUUGGCGUUAGGCGCGGAUUGUGUAGCAUAGGCGGGAGGCUUUGAAACGGUGGCGCCAGCCAUCGCGGAGCCGCAAGGUGAAAUACCGCUCUGUUCUCGUUUGACGUCUAACCUCGACAAGUCAUCCUUGUCAGGGACAGUGCCUGGCGGGUAGUUCAACUGGGGCGGUUGCCUCCCAAAGAGUAACGGAGGCGCUCAAAGGUCCGCUCAGCCCGGUUGGCAAUCGGGUGUCGAGUGUAAUCGCACAAGCGGGCUUGACUGCGAGGACGACGGUCCGAGCAGGGACGAAAGUCGGAGAUAGUGAUCCGGUGCCGGCGCACGGGCGCGGCAUCGCUCAACGGAUAAAAGGUACCCCGGGGAUAACAGGCUGAUCAUUCCCAAGAGUCCAUAUCGACGGGAUGGUUUGGCACCUCGAUGUCGGCUCGUCGCAUCCUGGGGCUGGAGCAGGUCCCAAGGGUUCGGCUGUUCGCCGAUUAAAGCGGCACGCGAGCUGGGUUCAGAACGUCGUGAGACAGUUUGGUCUCUAUCCUCUGCGCUCGUUGGAAUCCUGAGGAGGCCUGCCCAUAGUACGAGAGGACCUGGGUGGACGAACCUCUGGUAUGCCGGU
Molecule: ribosomal RNA, 942 nt
Filed under: human gut metagenome
Description: bacterial LSU rRNA
Rfam family: Bacterial large subunit ribosomal RNA
Source: RNAcentral